CAGCCGCCACGGUAAUACGUAGGGUGCGAGCGUUAAUCGGAAUUACUGGGCGUAAAGCGUGCGCAGGCGGUUCGGAAAGAGAGAUGUGAAAUCCCAGGGCUUAACCUUGGAACUGCAUUUUUAACUACCGGACUAGAGUGUGUCAGAGGGAGGUGGAAUUCCGCGUGUAGCAGUGAAAUGCGUAGAGAUGCGGAGGAACACCGAUGGCGAAGGCAGCCUCCUGGGAUAACACUGACGCUCACGCACGAAAGCGUGGGGAGCAAACAGGAUUAGAUACCCCCGUAGUCCCUGUCUCUUAUAC
RNAcentral lists this ribosomal RNA (301 nucleotides) under uncultured bacterium. Its description in RNAcentral is "partial 16S ribosomal RNA". It matches the Rfam family "Bacterial small subunit ribosomal RNA", at positions 509 to 807 of the family's 1533-position model. The record is from RNAcentral.